RNAcentral lists this long non-coding RNA (444 nucleotides) under Gossypium raimondii (Peruvian cotton). Its description in RNAcentral is "long non-coding RNA (GRAI_LNC002971)". Lineage: Eukaryota; Viridiplantae; Streptophyta; Magnoliopsida; Malvales; Malvaceae. The record is from RNAcentral.
CAUUAGCCUGAUUAGCAACCCCCCCUUUUCAUUUUCAAAACAAAUGUAAAAAAAAAAGAAACAAAAGAAAGAGGAAGUUAAACCCUAGGCCCCUUUCAUGCGCUGUUCAAUGAUUCAUCGCCCGCUUUUGGAGACUCUUCGAACCUUGCUCCCAAACUCCGAUGACGACGGAGAAAGAGCAAAAGGUUCGGUCGAGGUACAUCUUGCUCUUUUGGUUACCUUUUUCAAAAACAAUUGAUAGAUGUAAAAAUGAAAGAAGAAAAAAAAAACUGCGAAAGAAGAAAAAGGAAACUCGAAAUCACCUUUUUGGUGUUUUUGUAUUCUGAUUGCGUAAAAAGUAAGUGUUACAGCCUAUUCUUGGUCUUUUAUAGUAUCUAUUUACAAAAAAUAAAAUGAAAAAAUAUCAAAGCAAAUCACCCCCGUUCUGUCCCUUUUCAUUUUCUC